UUGGCGGGCAUAUCCAAAAUAAAAAAGCGCCAGCACUCUCCACUAAGUUUUCAGUUCUUUUCUUUCACCCUAUUCAAAGAACCCUAAGCCCCAAAUUGCAAAAUAAGGAUGGCACAAACUCUCCGCUACCACCACUUUGCUGUCCUCCCUCUCCAAUUGGUGCUCGGUGCUUGACAAAAUUCUUCAAUGAUUCGAGCUUUCAUUCGGGAAGAGUUUGAAAAAAAUCUGACAAAACAGGGACUUAAAAAACAGGCAUAGAAGGCGUAGUUCAAAACUCUGUACCUUACCAUUCAAAUGCUACCUGCACAAACCUAAAGAACUAAAUACAAAAGUUGUUAAAAGAUUAAGAUAUCUUUGUGAUGCUGACGACAACUCGGGCGAAUUAGUAGCUAGACAACAAUUUCAAUAUUGGACUUAGGUCUCCAACUCCUUAUUUGGGACAUAAAUUGACUUUUGUUAUAUUCAGAUCCCGAUACUGUAGUUUUCGGACCGCAGUGAGG
Nicotiana attenuata is the source of this 500-nucleotide long non-coding RNA. RefSeq lists it as uncharacterized. The record is from RefSeq and is a predicted model, not a curated record. NCBI's taxonomy places the organism in Eukaryota, Viridiplantae, Streptophyta, Magnoliopsida, Solanales, Solanaceae. The transcript is spliced from 4 exons.